RNAcentral lists this ribosomal RNA (405 nucleotides) under uncultured Aeromonas sp. RNAcentral's name for it is "bacterial SSU rRNA". It matches the Rfam family "Bacterial small subunit ribosomal RNA", at positions 335 to 732 of the family's 1533-position model. Lineage: Bacteria; Pseudomonadati; Pseudomonadota; Gammaproteobacteria; Aeromonadales; Aeromonadaceae. The record is from RNAcentral.
ACUCCUACGGGAGGCAGCAGUGGGGAAUAUUGCACAAUGGGGGAAACCCUGAUGCAGCCAUGCCGCGUGUGUGAAGAAGGCCUUCGGGUUGUAAAGCACUUUCAGCGAGGAGGAAAGGUUGGCAGCUAAUAUCUGUCAGCUGUGACGUUACUCGCAGAAGAAGCACCGGCUAACUCCGUGCCAGCAGCCGCGGUAAUACGGAGGGUGCAAGCGUUAAUCGGAAUUACUGGGCGUAAAGCGCACGCAGGCGGUUGGAUAAGUUAGAUGUGAAAGCCCCGGGCUCAACCUGGGAAUUGCAUUUAAAACUGUUCAGCUAGAGUCUUGUAGAGGGGGGUAGAAUUCCAGGUGUAGCGGUGAAAUGCGUAGAGAUCUGGAGGAAUACCGGUGGCGAAGGCGGCCCCCUGG